CCUACGGGAGGCAGCAGUGGGGAAUAUUGCACAAUGGAGGAAACCCUGAUGCAGCGACGCCGCGUGAGUGAAGAAGUAAUUCGUUAUGUAAAGCUCUAUCAGCAGGGAAGAAAAUGACGGUACCUGAGUAAGAAGCCCCGGCUAACUACGUGCAAGCAGCCGCGGUAAUACGUAGGGGGCAAGCGUUAUCCGGAUUUACUGGGUGUAAAGGGAGCGUAGACGGCAGUGCAAGUCUGGAGUGAAAGGCGGGGGCUCAACCCCAGGACUGCUCUGGAAACUGUACGGCUGGAGUGCAGGAGAGGUAAGUGGAAUUCCUAGUGUAGCGGUGAAAUGCGGAGAUAUUAGGAGGAACACCAGUGGCGAACGCGGCUUACUGGACUGUAACUGACGUUGAGGCUCGAAAGCGUGGGGAUCGAACAGGAUUAGAUACCCUGGUAGUC
RNAcentral lists this ribosomal RNA (440 nucleotides) under uncultured bacterium. RNAcentral describes it as "partial 16S ribosomal RNA". It matches the Rfam family "Bacterial small subunit ribosomal RNA", at positions 338 to 795 of the family's 1533-position model. The record is from RNAcentral.